Molecule: long non-coding RNA, 1236 nt
Filed under: Coturnix japonica (Japanese quail)
Lineage: Eukaryota; Metazoa; Chordata; Aves; Galliformes; Phasianidae
Description: lncRNA (ENSCJPG00005021184.1)
Source: RNAcentral
AUGUCUCCAGAUUCUCUGCAGAUGCAGCAGUCUUUGUGUCAUGGUUUCAUUUCUACUUUUAAACCAGCAGAAACACAGCAGAGUGUGUGUGUGCUUUUUUCACGUGAGCUGACUGCUGGGAAUGCACUGCGUGUCUGCAGACCGCGUGGCUCAAACAAUAAAGUCCAAAAGCACUCCAUCUCUGCUCCAGUUCUUGUGUGCUGUGUUCCCAGGUUCCUCCUCCAUGCCCAGGGAUGCUCUACAUUGUCAUGGUGGUGGAAUAAUGAGAUACUUCUGCUUGUGAACACAACAUGGGGUCCCACGAGCAGCAGCUGGGGUGCAGAGCUCUGCCAUGCUGCACACACUGCACUCAUCAGAGGAGCUGAGCAGCAGCCCCAGCCCUCAGCCCAGGAUACAGAGAAGCAGCAAGGCCAGGCAGGAUUUUGCUCAGGAAGCGGCACACUUUGUUUUUCACCAGAAACCAGAGCUGGGGCUCCCAACCCAUCCCAUCCUGUCCCGUCCCAUCCCAUCCCAUCCCGUCCCGUCCCGUCCCGUCCCGUCCUGUCCCAUCCCAUCCCAUCCCUAUCCCAUCCCCAUCCCAUCUCAUCCCGUCCCGUCCCAUCCCAUCCCGUCCCAUCUCAUCCCAUCCCUAUCCCAUCCCCAUCCCAUCUCUAUCCCAUCUCUAUCCCAUCUCUAUCCCAUCCCCAUCCCAUCCCCAUCCCCAUCCCAUCCAUCCAUCCCCAUCCAUCCCAGACCAUCCCAUCCCAUCCCAUCCCAUCCCAUCCCAUCCCAUCCCAUCCCAUCCCAUCCCAUCCCCAUAAGAUGCGCUUCCCCCGGCUCCGCCGACCCCGCCCUCAGCACAGCGCCACCUGGUGGCCGCCGUGGGCAGGCACUGCGCAUGCGAUGUGCGGGACGGCGGUUGGAGCCGCUCGGGCUUUUAGAGGGGUCGGUGCGGGGGGUGCGGAGCCUGCAGGGGGUCGGGGUGAGACGGGACGCGGCUCGUCAUGGAGCGGCCGUACUGGCAGAGCUCGGCCUGGGCCGGGAAGGCCCCGCGGAAGAAGCGACGUUUGUCCCCGUUGCCCGGCGGGCUGCCCGUCUCGGGGCGUUCCGGACAGGCUCAGUGCCGGCGGCGGCUGUUCGGCUGCGCGCGGCGUGGGGAGAACCAGCCCGGCUGUAAGCGGUGUGCGGUGCGGUGCGAGGAUGUGCGGGGCUCGGCGGUUGUCAGUUGGGGAGCGGGACCGAACCCACGUGGAAUAA